This 76-nucleotide transfer RNA is filed under the name Paraferrimonas sedimenticola. RNAcentral describes it as "tRNA-Arg". It matches the Rfam family "tRNA". From Rfam's summary of the family: Transfer RNA (tRNA) molecules are approximately 80 nucleotides in length. Lineage: Bacteria; Pseudomonadati; Pseudomonadota; Gammaproteobacteria; Alteromonadales; Ferrimonadaceae. The record is from RNAcentral.
CUCCCUAUAGCUCAACAGGAUAGAGCAGCCGCCUCCUAAGCGGCCGAUCCGGGUUCGAGUCCUGGUGGGGAGGCCA